Molecule: long non-coding RNA, 1986 nt
Filed under: Pogona vitticeps (central bearded dragon)
Lineage: Eukaryota; Metazoa; Chordata; Lepidosauria; Squamata; Agamidae
Description: lncRNA (ENSPVIG00000003921.1)
Source: RNAcentral
CAGCAGAACAAGUCCUAGAAAUAGUGAUUAUGGAACAGUUGGUCUCUACCUUGAGUAGCGGUGUGCGAAAUUGGGUGGUUAAGAACAAACCCUCCAACCUAGAGGGCGCUGUGAAGCUGCUAGAAGACUAUUUGGAGGCUGAAGACACGUGGCAAGCCUGAACUGCAUCACAGGGAGAGAAGGCAAAACUGCGAGAGAAGAUGGCGGAACCGAGCGGUCAGAUGAGCUUUCGCGGAGCAAACCCGGCCGUGGUGAAAAAGGCGCGUCCGGACAGGAUAGAGUAUGCGAACCCGGUAGGGGCGCGGGUGCCUAGGCCGACGAUUACUAAUGACCCUGCAGGCUCCAAACAAGCAGCGACGUGGAACCUGGGGAAAGAGAAGAUGACCGCUUGCUUUGGCUGUGGCCAGUUCGCCCAUAUCCGGAAGUACUGCCCCAUAACUGAGUGUGCGUGGGCGGAGGCUUGUGCCGGGAUAACCAAGGUGGGUGAAGAAAAUCACCCAGGGUGGGUAGUAGAGGCGAAGGUUAAUGGACAGACAAAGAAGGGUUUAGUGGACACCGGGUGCAGUAGAACGCUGGUAAAGGAACUAGAGGGAGAACGUUUACCUGAGAUUACUGUUAUCCGAUGCAUUCAUGGGGAUACAAAGGAGUACGUGACUACAAUGGCCGAGGUCGAGAUAGGCGGCCAUAAGCGAGACAUGGAAGUGGGGAUAGUCCCUAGUAUGACCAGAGAAAUGCUGCUAGGGAGAGACUGGCCUGGACUGAGCAAUUUCGCUAAAGAGCCUGGGGAAAUAGGCUGGGCUCAAGAAGAGAAUGAGGCCAGGGAGUUAGAAGUCAUGAAUUUGUCUAGAGAACAAAUAAGAAGCCUACAACAAGAUGAUGCAGGACUUAACAACUGUUUGCAACAAGCGGUGGCAGAAGGGACUACACCAGAAGGGGCGAAAGGAUUUGAACUGAGGGGAGGCUUGUUGUAUCACGUAAACAAGGGGCUAGUAAAAGAGCUAGAGGGAGAACGUUUACCGGAGAUUGCUGUAAUCCGAUGCAUUCACGGGGAUGUUAAAGAAUACGCGACUACUAUGGCCGAGGUUGAGGUAGGCGGCCAUAAGCGAGACAUGGAAGUGGGGAUAGUUCCCGGUAUGACCAGGGAAAUGCUGCUAGGGAGAGACUGGCCUGGACUGAGCAAUUUGGCUAAAGAGCCUGGGGAAAUAGGCUGGGCUCAAGAAGAGAAUGAGGCCAAGGAGUUAGAAGUCAUGAAUUUGUCUAGAGAACAGAUAAGAAGCCUACAACAAGAUGAUGCAGAACUUAACAACUGUUGGCAACAAGCGGUGGCAGAAGGGACUACACCAGAAGGGGCGAAAGGAUUUGAACUGAAGGGAGGCUUGUAUCACGUAAACAAGGCAUCCAGCGAUGAAGAGUCCCAGCAGGUAAUUCCAGAGGGCUUGCGGUUUUGGGUGAUACAUUGGGCACAUGACUUACCAGUGGCUGGGCAUUUGGCUACCCAAAAGACCUUGGCUAGAGUAAAACAGCGGUUCUUUGGUCAGGAAUGUCCCAAGAUGUAGAAGAGUUCUGUCGCUCAUGUGCCAAGUGCCAGAUGACUCAGCUUAAGGCAGGACCAGGGGCAGAGCUUGUACCCAUGCCUUUGGUAGACAGACCUUUUGACAGGAUUGCUCUGGACAUCGUAGGUCCGCUAACCAAAUCGGCGGGGGGACAUCAAUACACUUUGGUGGUCAUUGAUUAUGCCACCUGCUACCCAGAAGCGGUGCCCGUGAGGUCCACAACAGCAAAAGUGUUGGCUAAAGACUUAAUUGAACUGUUUUCCAGAGUGGGUUUUCCAAAGGAGGUGUUAACCGAUCAAGGCUCUAAUUUUAUGAGCCUGACCUUUAAACAGAUGUGGCAGUUGUUAGGGGUCAAACCUUUGAGAACAUCGGUCUAUCACCCGCAGGCCAAUGGCCUGGUGGAAAGGUUUAAUCGAACCCUAAAGGGGAUGCU